UAUGAAGUGAAUUAACUUAAGAUGUUUUAUUAACUUUUUAUCUUGAACUUUAUAUUUUUGUUGAAAAUAACAAAAGUUUCUUUAAGACUAAAAGACCCUAAAAUUUUUAUAAUUUAUAAAUAAUUAUUUGGUUGGGGCAAUAAUUUUAUAAAAAUAAUAAAAUAUAUUAAAUUGUUU
This 177-nucleotide ribosomal RNA is filed under the name Bdellorhynchus polymorphus. RNAcentral's name for it is "partial 16S ribosomal RNA". The record is from RNAcentral. Lineage: Eukaryota; Metazoa; Arthropoda; Arachnida; Sarcoptiformes; Avenzoariidae.